Long non-coding RNA from Etheostoma spectabile (orangethroat darter), 244 nucleotides. RefSeq lists it as uncharacterized. Lineage: Eukaryota; Metazoa; Chordata; Actinopteri; Perciformes; Percidae. The transcript has 2 exons. The record is from RefSeq and is a predicted model, not a curated record.
AUCCGCUCCCUGCUGGAUCGUUAUCCAUACUUUACUUGCACCCUGUAAUUCUUUUCAACCCUGCCUGGCAACCAGAACAAUGUCCUACAUCAUUCCAUCAAGACCCCUGUCCACCAGUACUCACCUCCCAACACGUUUGUCACCACCAUCAGCUUUCCAUCACCAGGGCUUACCUGUCUACACGUCUGGCGUUACUAUUCAGUUAUAUUUUUGUCAUCAAUAAAUACUCACCUUUUUCAUCACC